This 134-nucleotide ribosomal RNA is filed under the name Bacillus sp. bc15. RNAcentral describes it as "16S rRNA. Bacterial SSU". It matches the Rfam family "Bacterial small subunit ribosomal RNA", at positions 1 to 127 of the family's 1533-position model. Lineage: Bacteria; Bacillati; Bacillota; Bacilli; Caryophanales; Bacillaceae. The record is from RNAcentral.
CUUUAUUGGAGAGUUUGAUCCUGGCUCAGGAUGAACGCUGGCGGCGUGCCUAAUACAUGCAAGUCGAGCGAAUGGAUUGAGAGCUUGCUCUCAAGAAGUUAGCGGCGGACGGGUGAGUAACACGUGGGUAACCU